AUAUCUUUCAUUUAAUAAUUUGACUGGUAAUAUUCCAAGCUUUAGUAAUAAUAUUAAAUUGAUGCACCUAGACCUUUCAAACAAUAAUUUAUCAGGCAACAUUCCAGAUUUUAGUAAAAAUCGUAAUAUGAGAACAUUAAAUGUUGCAUAUAAUAAUCUAUCGGGUGAUCUUCCAAGUUUUAAUAAUAAUCGAGCGUUGUGUUUGUUAUAUCUGCAUAAUAACAGAGGUUUUACUUAUAAUUGUCCUGAUUUUAAAAAUCUAAUUAAUGUCCAGGACAAUCAAAUGAAAUAUUGCAACUUGGGUAAAAUCGUAUUCUCUAAAGGCUGUUGGAUUACUGAUACGUACUUUGAUAAAUGUGAACUUCGUGCUGUUCUAUCAAACGCAAAGUCUCUAUACUAUAUUAGUAUAGUUCAGCUAUUAGCUAUGCCACUUGUGUUAUUUUUUAUAUGAUGUAAAGCUAUGAUUUAAAAUAGCAUAUAUAAAA
Long non-coding RNA from Schistocerca gregaria, 485 nucleotides. RefSeq lists it as uncharacterized. NCBI's taxonomy places the organism in Eukaryota, Metazoa, Arthropoda, Insecta, Orthoptera, Acrididae. The record is from RefSeq and is a predicted model, not a curated record. The transcript has 5 exons.